UUCCUUUGGUAUAAAUCAUAGGUAUGCCCUGCCCCAUGAAAUUCUUUAAAUGGCCGCAUUUGUGCUAAGGUAGCAAAAUCAAUUGCCACUUAAUUGGUGGCUAGUAUGAAUGGGUUCACAAAAAGGCCCCUGUCUCCAACUAAACCCUAAAAACUAACCUUCAAGUGAAAAGGCUUGAAUCCCUAUAAAAGACAAAAAGACCCUGUCGCGCUUAAAGAUAACCAUAUAAAAUAUAUAUGUCCUCUUUUAGUUGGGACGACUUCUGAUUAAAUAAAACACCAGAUCUUCGCUAAGAAUUUAUCUUCAAAUUUCUGACCCUAAUAAGAUCAAAUAAUUAGCAACCGCAG
RNAcentral lists this ribosomal RNA (347 nucleotides) under Anelassorhynchus sp. RG-2015-9. RNAcentral describes it as "partial 16S rRNA". It matches the Rfam family "Bacterial large subunit ribosomal RNA", at positions 1823 to 2378 of the family's 2925-position model. The record is from RNAcentral. Lineage: Eukaryota; Metazoa; Annelida; Polychaeta; Echiuroidea; Thalassematidae.